CCUACGGGAGGCAGCAGUGGGGGAUAUUGCACAAUGGGGGGAACCCUGAUGCAGCGACGCCGCGUGGGUGAAGAAGCGCCUCGGCGCGUAAAGCCCUGUCAGCAGGGAAGAAAAUGACGGUACCUGAAGAAGAAGCCCCGGCUAACUACGUGCCAGCAGCCGCGGUAAUACGUAGGGGGCAAGCGUUAUCCGGAUUUACUGGGUGUAACGGGGGCGCAGACGGCGAUGCAAGCCAGGAGUGAAAGCCCGGGGCCCAACCCCGGGACUGCUCUUGGAACUGCGUGGCGGGAGUGCAGGAGGGGCAGGCGGAAUUCCUGGUGUAGCGGUGAAAUGCGUAGAUAUCAGGAGGAACACCGGUGGCGAAGGCGGCCUGCUGGACUGCAACUGACGCUGAUGCGCGAAAGCGUGGGGAGCAAACAGGAUUAGAUACCCCGGUAGUC
Molecule: ribosomal RNA, 440 nt
Filed under: uncultured bacterium
Lineage: Bacteria
Description: partial 16S ribosomal RNA
Rfam family: Bacterial small subunit ribosomal RNA
Source: RNAcentral